AGUUGCUCAGGCCUUUUGAUGCUCAUCUGUUCAUUUGAGCUUAGCUCUGCUUUUAACUUACUCGAUUCUCUUCCCCUUCUCCUCAGAGAACCAGCUGGAAAGCCUGCCCGCAACUUGCUCGCUCACCUUCUUUGCCCACUCUCACCCCACAUGCUGGAACGCUUACCUGCCUCACACAGCCAAGUGCUGCCACCAUUAAUCCUGUGGAGAGAAGGAGAAAGUGUUUGGUCUGGAAACUGGGCAAUUUAGAAGUGGUUUCCAGAAGGAGCAGAUCGGAUUCUUUGUGAGCGGGAAAACAGAAUCUUGUACUUGUUGUAUACAGAUGAUGGUGAUGCAAAGGAUCGGGUAAUUGUUGGAGCCGUGUGGAGCUGCUGAUGACAAAGGAAAUGAAAAUACAGGAGUUGUUUUCACACUGUAGACUGUACAUAAAAGAUGGAUGCAACCACUCUAACAUCACCCAGUGGAUUCUGUCAGUAGUUGCUGAUUGCUUAAAAUCGGUUAACAGCAUUGCACUUUAUGGAUACAGAUUGUUAACUAAUCUUGCUAGUGUUAGCACUUCCACCGAGGACUGUAUAUUAAAGAUGGACAUACCCACUAUGACAUCACCUGUUGGUUUCUUGAAAGGCCCAGUGUCAGCAUUUUGGCUGUCAAAAGCCAGAAGUAACAAUGUAGAGGCUGAAAUGGUCCAUCAAUAAAUCCAAAAAUAUCUGCUAAUUAGCGCUAAAUAACAGAUAAAAACUGUAUAUUUAAUAAGACAGCAGUCGGAAUUUCCAAGUUCCCAGUCAGUCAGUUUAAUCUGAAAUAACCCAUCAACUCAAAUUUCCCUCUCAGAAAAUCAGACCAGCACCAG
Long non-coding RNA from Oreochromis aureus, 850 nucleotides. NCBI's taxonomy places the organism in Eukaryota, Metazoa, Chordata, Actinopteri, Cichliformes, Cichlidae. The record is from Ensembl.